Non-coding RNA from Paramuricea clavata, 132 nucleotides. Lineage: Eukaryota; Metazoa; Cnidaria; Anthozoa; Malacalcyonacea; Plexauridae. The record is from the annotation of a GenBank genome assembly.
GCUAUUAGUCUGGUAAUGUUGUAUGUGAAUGUUGUGGUUUCAGCAACUCCAUCGACCGUCAUCACAGACGAUCAACGAAGAUGGGUAGUGGGAAACCACAACAUUCACAUACAACAUUGCCAGACUAAUAGC